AACUUUCGCUUGAGAGCUGCUCUGGAAAAGCAAAUCCUCUGAGAGUGAUGGGACCCCUCUGCGGGAGGCAUUUACCGGCCUCGAAGAAGUCCAGUCUGGCUGGGUCCCAGGAGACCCCAAAGGCACAUCUUCCCACAAGGUGAAGUACCCGAUCCCGCGCCGUAGAAGCAAGGUGCACCCCUCUUCGCUCCAGGCUUGGGCACCUUUGGCCGCUCUCCAGCCGGGGUCGGAGGCGUGCUGACCUUGAAGUUGCACUUGCCUGUCUCAGCCCCUCGCCCGCCCCAAGCUGUCUGGUGGGUGGCACUUGGGUCAGCUUGAAGCCUGCACAGCCGAGAGUUAUCAUCCUGCGCCCUUUCGGGGUUUGGGAGCUCAGGAUCAACCCGCUGGCAGAGAAAUGGAAGCCCAACGAGCUCCUGAAGUCAAGCCUUUUGUUACCAGUAUUUUCUUACCCAGUUCGCCAGGUCCUACAAAGCUCACUGCAGAGAGAUACUAUGGGUCCAUGCGAGUCUUGGGGACAGGCGGGGCUAAUGAGGAGGACGGCAGCGAGGGUGCAGGGGCCAAGGGAGCUGAAACGUAACUGUCAGUAAGCCCAAGGCCCCAGCCUUCCAAUUGCUUUGAAAGAUUUGGCGAUUCCAAGAACUUCGACCGCGGAAGUGUGGAAACCUGUUGAUAUAAAGUUCUUUCGGGAAGAUUUUUCUUUUUUGUCUUUAUCUAUUUUAAAUAAAAAGAGGUUGAUCUUCACGAUUGUUAGCCGACAAGUUAUCUUAAGUUUGAACAGACGUUGAAGGAGGACCUUCAUCGCCCGAGAAACCGUUUUUUUCCAGCGCGACUGUGCGCCCCACGCGGGCGCGCAGGUGGGUCCCCCCAGCGAAGGGCUCACCUUCCACCUGCGGGAACUUUCAUAUUAUGGCGACUUUUAAGGCGAGCGGAAAAACUUGCUGCCUGCACUGCACUGCUGAAACCCUAGAGAACAAUGUAGAAUGUGUGGAUGGGGGUAGACGAAAGCUGGUGAAAAGGGUUUCGAAAAAUUAACUGGGAUGUUCUGCAUUCAAUUGCACUGACUAGGUGAUAUACUUUUUUCUGUUACACGUCCUCCCCCCACCGAAUCUUGUGUUUAGCGAAGGUUGGAAAACAUCUAAAGUUUUAAAAAAGAAAAAUUGUUAACACUUUUAGGGCUUGCUUGGUCUCCACUAAUCAAGAAACAAACUCGAAGGGGCUGAGAUCAGCUUUGGGAUUUUGGUUUUGCGAUUUAAAACCCACAGCGCCAUCUCCUGGCAACGAGGAGAAUAUCGAGAUGGAUGACAGCAAUACUGAAAAGCUGAAUAUGAAAUAUUCAAAUACGACUCUAAUGCCUCAAAAAUUGUUUCAGUGAUAAAUAGAUUACCGUGACAAAACAUGAGCUGGAAAUUCAUGAUCAUUAAAAGUUGCCAGAUACAAUUCUGGAAGCUAAUUAUUUGGGCUGCUAUUUCCCAGUCACACUCGGGUGUCUGAUUGUCAGCUUUAUGUCUCAGAAAGUAUUCCCCACAAUUCAGGUGCUGAGCUGACAGCGGUAUUUCCUUCGCACACGAAUGUAGCUGACAAGAUCAGUGUGUCCUCUGCACCCUUAGACACUCUGGUCGGGGACUUUAUCCAUUGCUUGCAAGAGCCUGCUGCUGAUUUAGGAAUAAAGGAUGAUGUGUUUGUUGUUUGCUGUCUAUAGAAGCUUUAAUAUCAGUCUUUACCAUCAAUUUCAAAAUAUAUUGAAGGACAAUAAAAGACAAGACAGUAAAGCUUCUUUAUAGAGAUCUGAGGAGAUCCUGAACACUGCUAACUUUCUUAAUAAGAUGUCUUGCCCUGACUGGUGUGGCUCCGCUGUUUGAGUGUCAUGCUGCAAAGCUAAAAGUCCCCUGUUCGAAUCCUGCUGAGAGCACAGGCCUGGCUGCGGUUGCGCCCCGCAUGAGGGUGCGUGCAGGAGGUAAUCGAUCCAUGUUUCACAUCAGUGUUUCUGGCCUUCUUUUUCUCUCUCUGAAAAUAAACAAAUACAAUUUAAACAAAUACAAAUAAACAAACAAGAUAUCUCAAAUGAAUGCAUGUGGGGAAAAAUUCCUCCCACAGUAAAA
Phyllostomus discolor (pale spear-nosed bat) is the source of this 2099-nucleotide long non-coding RNA. RefSeq lists it as uncharacterized. NCBI's taxonomy places the organism in Eukaryota, Metazoa, Chordata, Mammalia, Chiroptera, Phyllostomidae. The record is from RefSeq and is a predicted model, not a curated record. The transcript is spliced from 4 exons.